GGGGUUGUAGCUCAGUGGUAGAGUGCUUGCCUAGCAUGCGUGGGGCACUGAGUUCGAUCCUCAGCACCACA
This 71-nucleotide transfer RNA is filed under the name Marmota monax (woodchuck). RNAcentral describes it as "tRNA.Ala". It matches the Rfam family "tRNA". Rfam says of the family: Transfer RNA (tRNA) molecules are approximately 80 nucleotides in length. Their secondary structure includes four short double-helical elements and three loops (D, anti-codon, and T loops). Lineage: Eukaryota; Metazoa; Chordata; Mammalia; Rodentia; Sciuridae. The record is from RNAcentral.